This 3109-nucleotide long non-coding RNA is filed under the name Sus scrofa (pig). RNAcentral's name for it is "lncRNA (ENSSSCG00000060428.1)". Lineage: Eukaryota; Metazoa; Chordata; Mammalia; Artiodactyla; Suidae. The record is from RNAcentral.
AGCUUCCAUCUACUUCUGUCUCCCAAGUCCCACUGAAAAAAGCAGGAAUUUUUUUUUUUUUUUUUUAAGCAAUGGAAACAGAGAAAACAAGAAGGAAAGUCCCCUUAGAACAGAAGUUUGAGGAAGUCCCAAAUAAGAAAACAGCAGGAUAGGAAGCUUUAAAAAAAAGAGAGAGCAGAGAAAAACAGUGCCCAGAGUAACCCUUCGCAAGAUAACCCCAGCCCGUGACUCCUCAACAAAUAAAAAGAGUGGGAGGGAGCUGGCAGCUAAGCUGGGAUGAUUAAUUGAUGAACUGACUUUAAAACAGCCGAGAUCCCUGCCCCUUGCCCUGCUUUUUCUCCUUCCAGGGCAUCCUGCUUGGGGUGGACAGAGGCCUCUAAAGACAGUUAUUUGCCUGUUGGGGCUCCUAAAAUGGGAGCAAAAAAGGCAAAGCAGUUUGAAAUAACUCUGGACCCUCACAAGGGAUAAUAGAAGGGACAAAAGGGCAAAGUGGCUUUGUCCCAAAUAGAGGUCCAGUCAAGUUGUCCUGUGGCCAAUUAACAGCUGUCCUUAUUUUGGCAUCUGGGGUUGAGAUGGGGCAGCCUGCCCCCUGGCUGAUACAGACAUACAAACCCAAAGUCAAGCCUGCCAGCAAAUACCACCUGCCCAUCUCCAUGGUCAGGCCAGAAGCUGAGAUGACGUGAAACUGAGGGGUGGGGACAGUUGGAAGACACUCCUUCACCAGCUCUCCUGUUCCUUCACAGUUUGCUGACACUGUCAAGACUGCAAGGCCCUGGCUUCUCUUUAGGGUUGGAUUUGCAGCAGGCAACCUGGAGGAAUGAGAUCAUGUCUGCUCCUGGGACAGGAGAACUCUUUCUUACUGGUUGCUAUUAAGCAGAAGGUUCCCCAAGCUCAGUAUUCCUCUCCUGUCACUCAGCCCGCUGUGCAAGCAGAUGCUCAUCUAGGCCCCUCGGCCUCGCCCUGUGCAAAGUGGGACUUGGAACUGAGGCAAACAUGCCUGAUGCUCUGGAGACUGCUUUUGUUGUGAGGAAAAAAGAGUCUUUCAUUUCAACCCAGGAGUCUUGUGUCUUUGUCAGCAAGAAGUGACAAGCCUGCUUGUUGCCUUGCAAGUAGAGUAAAAUCUAAGACCUUAUACAGUUCUUUGUUUUUAACUGAAGUAUAGUUGAUUUACUGUGUUAUAUUAGUUUCAGGUGUACAACUUAGUGAUUCAAUAUUUUUAUAGAUUAUAUCCACUUAAAAUUAUUAUAAAAUAUUGGGCCAUAUUCCCCAUGCUGUGCAUCACAUCCUUGUGUGUCGUUUAUUUUAUGCAUAAGAGUUUGUACCUCUCAAUUUCCUGCUUCUGUCUUGUCCCUCCCUCCUCCCUUCUCCCCACUGGUAAGCACUAGUUUGUUCUUUACAUCUGUGAGACUGUUCUGUUUUGUUCUAUUCAUUCGUUUUAUUUUUUAGAUUGCUCAUAUAAGUGAAAACAUGUAGUGUUUGUCUUUCUCUGUCUGACUUACCUCACUAAGCAUAAUACCAUCCAGGUCCAUCUAUGUUGUUACAAAUGGCAAAAUUGUCAUUCUUUUUUACGGGUUUUAUAUAUCUGUGUGUGUAUGCGUGCGUUUUACAAGUUAAUAUUUUGCUUUUGUAUGGAUUUAUACCUACAAGUGGAAUUUCUGGAUCAUAUGGUAGUUCUAGUUUUCAUUUUUUCGAGGAACCUCCAUACUGUUUUCUCUAGUAGCUGCACCAAUUUCCAUUCCCAUCAGCAGUGAACUUGUGUUCCCUUUUUUCCACAUACUAACCAACAUUUAUUACUUGUUGUCUUUUUAAUAAUGGCCAUUCUGACUGGUGUGAGGUGAUAUCUCCUUGUAGUUUUGAUUCGCAUUUCCCUGAUGAUUAGUGAUAUUGAGCAUCUUUUCAUGUGCCUGUUGGCCAUAUCUAUGUUGUCUUUGGGAAAAUGUCUGUUCAGGUCUCAUGCCCAUUUUUUCAUUGGGUUAUUUGCUUUCUUGGUGUUGAGUUGUAUGAGCUUUUAUAUAUAUUUCGGGUGUUAACCCCUUGUUGGUCAUAUUAUUUGCAAUUAUCUUCUCCAUUCAAUAGGUCUUCUUUUCAUUUUGUUGAUGGUUUCCUUUGCUGUGCAGAAGCUUCACAUGUCAUUAUGUCCCAUUUGUUUAGUUUUGCUUUUGUUUCCUUUGCCUGAGGAGACAGAUCUAAAAAAAUAUUGCUAAGAUGGGUUGCAGACGCGGCUCAGAUCCCGAGUUGCUGUGGCUCUGGCAUAGGCCAGUGAUUACAGCUCCGAUUUGACCCCUAGCCUGGGAACCUCCAUAUGCCGCAGGAAGUGGCCCUCGAAAAGGCAAAAAGACACACAAUAUAUAUAUAUAUUUCUAAGAUGAAUAGCAAAGAGUCUAUUGUCUCUGUUUUCUUCUAGGAGUUUUAUGGUUUCCAGGCUUACAUUUAGGUCUUUAAUCAAUUUCUAGUUUAUUUUUCAUAUGUGAUGUGAGAAAAUGUUGCAAUUUCAUUCUUUUACAUGUGGCUGUCACCUUCACAGUUGUUGACAUGAGGCUGUCAUUUGUAGGUGGCAUGGCAUGUGCAGAGGCAGUCCAAAAGAAUCUGUAAACAAAUUAUUGAGUAAAUGAGAGAAUUUAGCAAGUUUGCAGGAUAAACAGUCAAUUACAGAAAAAAAUCAGUUUCACGUCUAUAUGUUAGAAAAAAGUAGAAUAAAAAUUUUAGAAUUACCAUACAAAAUAAAAUAAAAAAUGGCACAAAACCCAUCAUAAGUAACAAAAUCUAACAUUAGAUUACAAAACCUUUACACUGAAAGUGCAAAAACAUUGCUUAGAAAUUAAUGAUGAUAAUGUAAGGAAUGAUAAUAGCAUGUUCACAGUUUAUUAAGAUGUCCAUUCUGGGGAGUUCCCAUCAUGGCUCAGCGGAAAUGAAUCUGACUAGCAUCCAUGAGGAGGCAGGUUCAAUCCCUGGCCUCCUCAGUGGGUUAAGAAUAUGGCAUUGCUGUGAGCUGUGGCAUAGAUUGCAGAUGCAGCUCGGAUCCAGUGUUGCUGUGGCUGUGGUGUAAGCUGGCUGCUACAGCUCUGAUUCGACCCCUAACCUGGGAACCUCUAUAUGCCAUGGAUGUGGC